AUGUGUGCAACUAUUUUAAUUAUGUAACAAUCUUAUAUUAUGUGGUAGGUCAUUCAAUAUAUCAAAGAAAAAAACCAAAUUGGAAGGUUGUUAAGUGUUCCAAACAAAAUGGGGUGGUAGAAUGCGGGUACUAUGUUAUGCGAUUCAUGCGGGACAUAAUUUCUGCGAGGAGUACUUCGAUUGUAGAUGUCAUGAAAAGUUUACCUCCUAUGUACUCUCAAGAUCAAAUCGAUGAAGUUAGAUCGGAAUUGGCGGAGUUCCUUUCUAAGCACGUACAUCGUGCUUAGCACCAGAUUAGGAAACAACAUUUUUUGAAGUAUUUUG
Long non-coding RNA from Cucumis sativus (cucumber), 324 nucleotides. RefSeq lists it as uncharacterized. The record is from RefSeq and is a predicted model, not a curated record. The transcript has 3 exons. Lineage: Eukaryota; Viridiplantae; Streptophyta; Magnoliopsida; Cucurbitales; Cucurbitaceae.